UCGGGAAUUUUGGGCAAUGGGGGAAACCCUGACCCAGCAACGCCGCGUGAAGGAUGAAGUAUUUCGGUAUGUAAACUUCGAAAGAAUAGGAAGAAUAAAUGACGGUACUAUUUAUAAGGUCCGGCUAACUACGUGCCAGCAGCCGCGGUAAUACGUAGGGACCAAGCGUUGUUCGGAUUUACUGGGCGUAAAGGGCGCGUAGGCGGCAUGACAAGUCACUUGUGAAAUCUCUGGGCUUAACCCAGAACGGCCAAGUGAUACUGUCGCGCUAGAGUGCAGAAGGGGCAAUCGGAAUUCUUGGUGUAGCGGUGAAAUGCGUAGAUAUCAAGAGGAACACCUGAGGUGAAGACGGGUUGCUGGGCUGACACUGACGCUGAGGCGCGAAAGCGUGGGGAGCAAACAGGAUUAGAUACCCACGUAGUCCCUGAGCGGGCUGGCAAGGCGCAU
This 447-nucleotide ribosomal RNA is filed under the name uncultured bacterium. RNAcentral describes it as "bacterial SSU rRNA". It matches the Rfam family "Bacterial small subunit ribosomal RNA", at positions 355 to 825 of the family's 1533-position model. The record is from RNAcentral.